Molecule: ribosomal RNA, 497 nt
Filed under: uncultured bacterium
Lineage: Bacteria
Description: partial 16S ribosomal RNA
Rfam family: Bacterial small subunit ribosomal RNA
Source: RNAcentral
GAUGAACGCUGGCGGCGUGCCUAAUACAUGCAAGUCGAGCGAACAGACGAGGAGCUUGCUCCUCUGACGUUAGCGGCGGACGGGUGAGUAACACGUGGAUAACCUACCUAUAAGACUGGGAUAACUUCGGGAAACCGGAGCUAAUACCGGAUAAGAUAUUGAACCGCAUGGUUCAAUAGUGAAAGACGGUUUUGCUGGCACGUAUAGAUGGAUCCGCGCCGCAUUAGCUAGUUGGUAAGGUAACGGCUUACCAAGGCAACGAUGCGUAGCCGACCUGAGAGGCUGAUCGGCCACCCUGGAACUGAGACACGGUCCAGACUCCUACGGGAGGCAGCAGUAGGGAAUCUUCCGCAAUGGGCGAAAGCCUUACGGAGCAACGCCACGUGAGUGAUGACGGUCUUCGGAUCGUAAAACUCUGUUAUUAGGGAAGAACAACUGUGUAAGUAACUAUGCACGUCUUGACGGUACCUAAUCAGAAAGCCCCGGCUAACUACGUG